Molecule: ribosomal RNA, 831 nt
Filed under: uncultured bacterium
Lineage: Bacteria
Description: bacterial SSU rRNA
Rfam family: Bacterial small subunit ribosomal RNA
Source: RNAcentral
CCCCGUGCUUAACACAUGCAAGUCUAGCGAGACCUUUCCUUCGGGAGAGUGUUCUAGCGGCGAACGGGUGAGUAACACGUGGGCAACCUGCCCCCGGCUCUGGGAUAACUCCAAGAAAUUGGGGCUAAUACCGGAUAUGACCGCUGACCGCAUGGUCUGGUGGUGGAAAGAUUUAUCGGCUGGGGAUGGGCCCGCGGCCUAUCAGCUUGUUGGUGGGGUAGUGGCCUACCAAGGCGACGACGGGUAGCCGGCCUGAGAGGGUGACCGGCCACACUGGGACUGAGACACGGCCCAGACUCCUACGGGAGGCAGCAGUGGGGAAUAUUGCGCAAUGGGCGAAAGCCUGACGCAGCGACGCCGCGUGGGGGAUGACGGCCUUCGGGUUGUAAACCUCUUUCAGCAGGGACGAAGCCGUGAGGUGACGGUACCUGCAGAAGAAGCACCGGCCAACUACGUGCCAGCAGCCGCGGUAAUACGUAGGGUGCAAGCGUUGUCCGGAAUUAUUGGGCGUAAAGAGCUCGUAGGCGGUUUGUUGCGUCGGCUGUGAAAUCCCGAGGCUCAACCUCGGGUCUGCAGUCGAUACGAGCAAACUAGAGUGUUGCAGGGGAGACUGGAAUUCCUGGUGUAGCGGUGAAAUGCGCAGAUAUCAGAGGAACACCGGUGGCGAAGGCGGGUCUCUGGGCAACAACUGACGCUGAGGAGCGAAAGCGUGGGGAGCGAACAGGAUUAGAUACCCUGGUAGUCCACGCCGUAAACGUUGGGCGCUAGGUGUGGGGCUCAUUCCACGAGUUCCGUGCCGCAGCUAACGCAUUAAGCGCCCCGCCUGGGAGU